GGGAGUCACAAUGUAGCCGCAAUAGGGAUAAGAAGUUCGGAACCAUUCUCCGUUGUCCGAGAUGGGAGCAUGUUUGAGGAGAUCACCUCCAGAGAAGGAUGUUCAAUGGGCGCACUGGUGGCCAUGGUCACGAUUCAGAGGGAAUACUGAGCUCCAGCUGAGGGUUGAGCUGGUUACCUGUCCUGUUGAAGUAGACAUGAACUGGAAACUUCGCAUUAUCAUGCCCAACAGUGACAAGAAUUCCUUGUCGUCAUAUUCAAAGCGGUUCCCAAACACAAUGGAACUGAUGACGUUGGAGACUGUCCGGCUCAUGUAGAAGGUGGGGUCUAUUGUGGCACCUGGGAGGCGGGCCAGGGUUGAAAGGGAAGGAGAUUGGGGAAGCGCGUCUCAGUUGAUGGCGGUGUGAGCCCUAAAGAUUGGGCGCCUUUCCCAAGUCCCCACUGUCUGUCUCCAUCACUCUUCAAAACCUGCUGCUUCUCUUGUCUGUCCCGUGUGCUCCAUGACCCCCAGCCUCACCGUUUGUGUCCCGCAGGGCCUGUAUGAGAAAGCUGGUCUCCUCUAUGGUGCGCUCCUCAAUGCCACGUUUUCCAAAGCCGAAGUCCCUCAGCGUGGCGAUGGAGAAGCGCCUGAGUUGCUUGGCGCGCUCCCCGGAGCUGAACACCACACCUGGGAUCCCAACACAAGCACAGGAAUUGGUUAGAGCGGCACCUUUGGGCAAUGUAGCAACUCUAACCAGAUCCUGGAGGCUGUGGGUUUGGGCAAAGGGCUGGAGUUGGACAUGAAAUGUUGAAAAACCAAUAAAAAGGAGAAAGAGGGACCA
Mesocricetus auratus (golden hamster) is the source of this 820-nucleotide long non-coding RNA. RefSeq lists it as uncharacterized. The record is from RefSeq and is a predicted model, not a curated record. The transcript has 2 exons. NCBI's taxonomy places the organism in Eukaryota, Metazoa, Chordata, Mammalia, Rodentia, Cricetidae.